GCCAGGCAUGGUGGCUCGUGCCUGUAAUCCCAGCUACUUGGGAGGCUGAGGCAGGAGAAUCACUUGAACCCAGGAGGCAGAGGUUGCAGUGAGCCAAGAUUGUGCCACUGCACUUCAGCCUGGGUGACAGAGUGAGACUCUGUCUCAA
RNAcentral lists this signal recognition particle RNA (148 nucleotides) under Pan troglodytes (chimpanzee). Its description in RNAcentral is "Metazoan signal recognition particle RNA". It matches the Rfam family "Metazoan signal recognition particle RNA". From Rfam's summary of the family: The signal recognition particle (SRP) is a universally conserved ribonucleoprotein. It is involved in the co-translational targeting of proteins to membranes. The eukaryotic SRP consists of a 300-nucleotide 7S RNA and six proteins: SRPs 72, 68, 54, 19, 14, and 9. Lineage: Eukaryota; Metazoa; Chordata; Mammalia; Primates; Hominidae. RNAcentral also lists the same sequence under 1 other name. The record is from Rfam by way of RNAcentral.